AACGAACGCUGGCGGCAUGCCUAACACAUGCAAGUCGAACGAGACCUUCGGGUCUAGUGGCGCACGGGUGCGUAACGCGUGGGAACCUGCCCUUAGGUUCGGAAUAACUCCCCGAAAGGGGUGCUAAUACCGGAUAAUGUCUUCGGACCAAAGAUUUAUCGCCUUUGGAUGGGCCCGCGUUGGAUUAGCUGGUUGGUAGGGUAAAAGCCUACCAAGGCGACGAUCCAUAGCUGGUCUGAGAGGAUGAUCAGCCACACUGGGACUGGGACACGGCCCGAACCCUGCCGGAGGGCAGCAGGGGGGAUAAUGGAACAAGGGGGGAAGGCAGAACCCAGCAGGGCCGGGUAGGUAUUGAGGCCGUAGGGUUGUAAAGCUCUUUUACCCGGGAUGAUAAUGACAGUACCGGGAGAAUAAGCUCCGGCUAACUCCGUG
RNAcentral lists this ribosomal RNA (432 nucleotides) under uncultured bacterium. RNAcentral describes it as "partial 16S ribosomal RNA". It matches the Rfam family "Bacterial small subunit ribosomal RNA", at positions 29 to 507 of the family's 1533-position model. The record is from RNAcentral.